ACACCCUCAAGCUCCGCUUGGUGUUGGGCGUCUGUCCCGCCGUACGGCGCGGACUCGCCUCGAAAUCAUUGGCAGCCCCUCCAGCGGCUCUGAGCGCAGCAGAAUUGCGUCUCUGGCAGCGGGAGGCGGCGUCCACGAAGCACUUCUUCCA
This 151-nucleotide unclassified non-coding RNA is filed under the name uncultured Pleosporales. Its description in RNAcentral is "sequence contains ITS2". The record is from RNAcentral. Lineage: Eukaryota; Fungi; Ascomycota; Dothideomycetes; Pleosporales.